This 1433-nucleotide ribosomal RNA is filed under the name Dinophyceae sp. Its description in RNAcentral is "partial large subunit ribosomal RNA". It matches the Rfam family "Eukaryotic large subunit ribosomal RNA", at positions 23 to 1464 of the family's 3401-position model. Lineage: Eukaryota; Dinophyceae. The record is from RNAcentral.
ACCCGCUGAAUUUAAGCAUAUAAGUAGGUGGUGAAUGAGAAACAAACCAGGAUUACCUCAGCAAUGGCGAAUGCAGAGGGUUGAGCUCAUUGUGGAAGUCAGGGCGCUCGUUCCCGACUUGUAUUCUUGAGGUGUGCAACCCACAGAGGUGUAGCUCUAGGCUUUUGGGAAGGUGCAUUGAUGAGGGUGACAACCCUGUGUGUCAGCUACAGCCCUCAGCGUGUGGUGCACAAUUCGCGAGUCACAUUCCUUUGGAUUGGUGUGUGAAGCAGGUGGUACAAUUCAUCUGAAGCUGAAUAUUUGUCUGAGACUGAUAGCGAACAAGUACCGUGAGGGAAAGGUGAAACAGGACUUUGAAAAGAGAGCUAAGCAUGCCUGAACUUGCUGAACAGGACAUGAGGGAAACCAGUAUAACUUGAUAAGCUUGCUGUGCGUGGUCCUUCUUGUCUGCACCUUGUUCUUGUUCAUCUUGCUGUUCAUGAGGAGGUUGCGCAUAGUGUGCCUUGUCUUGUCGAUCAGGGUCAGCACAUUACCUAAGGGGAUAUUCAAAUGCAUUCCAACUUGCCAUCUGGUGGGCGACUGCAUUUUUUAUGCUUGUGUGUGUGCCUCUUGAUGACUAUUCGGUGCCAUUCGCCCCGUCUUGAAACACGGAUCAAGGAGUCUAAUAUACGUGCGCGCUUAUCGGUUGUAGAACUUGUUAGCACAACAAAGAUAUCGGUUGGGAAAUGUGCACCAACACCCGAUCUUGCAGCUGCGGGAGGUUCGAGUAUGAGCAUGUCUAUUAGGACCCGAAAGAUGGUGAACUAUGCCUGUGAAGGGCAAAUUCAGGGGAAACUCUGAUGGAGGCCCGCAGUGAUACUGACGUGCAAAUCGUUCGGCAUACAGGGGCAUAGGGGUGAAAGACUGAUCGAAUCAUCUAGUAGCUGGUUCCCUCUGAAGUUUCCCUCAGGAUAGCUGGAGCUGGACAGCUUUAUCACGUAAAGCCAAUGAUUAAAGGAAUUAGGGGCUUGUUGCCCUUGACCUGUUCUCAAACUCUAAAUAGGUAAACCACAGUUGUUACAUGUGUGAGUUUCAGUGGCAAGUGGCAUCUCUAAGUGGGCCAUUCUUGGUAAGCAGAACUGGCGAUGAGGGAUGAACCUAACGUUGGGCAAAGGUGUCUCCUUGCUCACUCAUCAGAUACCAUAAAGGGUGUUGGUUCAUCUUAACAGCAGGACGGUGGUCAUGGAAGUUGAAAUCCGCUAAGGAGUGUGUAAUAACUCACCUGCCGAAUGGACUAGCCCCUAAAAUGGAUAGCGCUCAAGUGGGUGACUGAUGGCCAACCAAUUCUGUGGUUUUGCUGCAUCAGUGAGUAGGAGGGCACAGGGCUUUGUGCUGAAGCUUGAGGCGUAAGUCUGGGUGAAACAGGCCUGGGUGCAGAUCUUGGUGGUAGUAGC